This 78-nucleotide transfer RNA is filed under the name Jiangella alkaliphila. RNAcentral describes it as "tRNA_Asp_GTC". It matches the Rfam family "tRNA". Rfam says of the family: Transfer RNA (tRNA) molecules are approximately 80 nucleotides in length. Their secondary structure includes four short double-helical elements and three loops (D, anti-codon, and T loops). The record is from RNAcentral. RNAcentral also lists the same sequence under 2 other names. Lineage: Bacteria; Bacillati; Actinomycetota; Actinomycetes; Jiangellales; Jiangellaceae.
GGUCCUGUGGAGCAGUUCGGAGUGCUCGCCGCCCUGUCAAGGCGGAGGUCGCGGGUUCAAGUCCCGUCAGGACCGCCA